AGAAAUCUUUAUUUUCAUAACAAAACAGUUAUGCUUAUUAAAACAAAGACUUUUUCUUUUCCUUUUCACCAAAUACUAAUAUUGAAAGGUGAAUAAUGCUUUUGAAGAGAAAGUAAAAUAUUUUAAUCAGGUUGUUACAGGUAAGAUUUUUACUUUAGAGAGAUUACCCUGGCAGUGGGCUGGAUGAAAGAUUAAAAAAUGAUUAAAACCUGCAAGAUGAGAAAUAGAUGACUAUUGUGAUUAUCUAAAGAGAAAAAAACAAAUUUCCAAUCUCUGACAUUGAUUGCAAGAAUAAAGAAAGGACAAACAGAUUUUAAUAAAACAUAACUCAGUCAUAGAUUGGAUGUGGGGCAUGAGAAAGAGUAGAAUUUUGAAUGACAAUCAAGUUUCUAAAUUGAGAGAUUAAUGUUAUCACUAAGACAAGGAACAGGAAUACCUUUGAUUUUCUUUUGUCCACUACACAUGUGUUUUUCCCCACUCUCAGACUCAUGAUGAAAUAUGAAAGGAGAUUUAGAUUCUGCCCAACUAGAACUCAUAUUCAAACUAAAAGUAGAAACUGAUCAAAGAGUUUGUUGUUUGGGAGCAAGAUUAAGAAGGAGGUAGGUAUGGUGAGAAAGGGAAUUUCUUAAAGUCAUCUUAUAAUAUUUAGUUUCUUUCCUACACAAGUAUUAACAUGAAUUUUUUUUUUUGAAACGGAGCCUCACUCCGUCGCCCAGGAUGGAGUGCAGUGGCGCAAUCUCAGCUCACUGCAACCUCUGCCUCCUGGGUACAAGCGAUUCUCUUGCCUCAGCCUCCUGAGUAUCUGGGACUACAGGUGUGUGCCACCACACCCGGCUAAUUUUGUAUUUUUAGUAAAGGCAGAGUUUCACUAUGUUGACCAGGCUGUUCUCGAACUCCUGACCUCGUGAUCCUCCUGCCUCGGCCUCCUGAAAAUUUUCAUAUAAAAUAAAAGAACAAAGGAAAAGUCUUUCUGUUUCAUUCAACCAUGACUUUAUUUAACAUCAUUGUAAUUAAAUACAUAUUAAAUUUUUAGACAAUGAAUAAGAAAUACAUUACCUAGAAGCAAGUUUGCUUGUGUCUGGAAAUUAUUUUAAAACAUGUCCAGGUUUACGUAGGAAUCUAUAGCCAAAGCAACUUUUGUGGCACAUACUUUAGGAUAGAUUUGAAGAUGUGUGACCAAGUAGAGAAUAAAUACUAUAUGGGAUAAAGUAGAUGUGCUAUUUUAUGUCCUGGAUCUGAGAAAACAAAUUAUGGAGGGGAAAGAAAAACACUUUCAAAUUUAUUGACGUAAUACACAUUUUCCAAGAGUUUGUUUCACUGAUGUUCCACAUUUCAAAGACUAAAUGCAAAAUGUUUUCUAAUGUAUAAAAUUCAUUUAACUGAUAUAAAUUUUUUCAUAUUAAUAUCUGUGCAAAAAUGCAGUAUACAUUAUUUUAUUUGUAGGGAGAUCUUCUCUGUUCAUUUUCAGGUAAUAAUGUCAAUAAUGCCCUAAUACCAGGGUUUUGUAUUAUUUUAUAUAUCAAUAUCGAUAUCAAUACAAAGGAUCUUGAUAUUAUUGACUCACUGGUUUAAUAGUUUCUAAAAAUAGGUAUUUCCAGAAAUGCACCUUAUUGCAUACACUAUACACAUUUGUGUGCAGGUCCACAUAUAGGCAUAUGUUGAUUAGAUAUAAUAACCAGAAACUACUUGCUUGAAGGCAAAAAUUUUUAUGUCAUCCCUUUCUUAAAACAGUUUUCUGAUACAACUUUGGGCUUCACUGACAACCUAGAGUUAUUCUUUUUUACACAACUGACUAACAAAAUGGUUUCAAGUUUAUUUAAUAUAUAACUGUAAGUAAUUCAGAGACUCCUGGGAUAAAGCAAGUGGAAUUCAGUGCAAAAGAAUAAUAUGGUAGAUUAUUAGCUUGUAAGUAACAAAAAUCAGGAUAUAUGCCUCUGAGUUAAAAAAAAUCAGUUUGAUGUCUGAUCACGAGGCAAUGACAUUGCUGGUUUCCACAGCAACCAAAUCCUGAGUAUUCUUCAUUCAUCUCUUUUCUACCAGAAUCCACCUCAUUACGGUAAAAAGAAAUUCAGUGUCACAUCAAUGAAAACUCUAAUAUUUAUAGAUCCAAAUACAUUUUUUCUGUCCAGGGUGACUAAGUAAAGAUGCUAAAAUCCAGCAUUGGCUUGAACAAGAAAAGUUAAUUUCAAAGUGAGAAGAACUGAAGCUUUCUUGAAUUUUACUUAUGUAUGCAGCAUUUAUUAUUUGAGCAUUCGAGAGAGAUGUUUUUUUCAUCUACUUUGACAGGCUCAGCUCUUUGGAGAGUUUAUUUUAUCUCCCCUAGUCAGAAGUUGAUUUCCGUGGCACUUCUGCCUCAAACUUAAAAGUCAAAAUACAAAAGAACUAGCACACUUAUUCUUGUCUAGCAAAGAUAAGAUUUAUUCUGUGUGGUGUAAAAACACCUGACAAACUAUCUACUUGAUACUGAAUUUGCAAAAUACUUUCAUACCACAUUUUUGAAUGGGAAAAUAUGAUAACAUAAUUGACUAUGAGUUGUGUUUCCUGUGAUUAUGUAUAAAAAUAUAUACAUUUUAGUAUAGCUAUAUUACACAAUUUGACAGCACUGCCGUUUUGAUUGAUCCAUUGAUGGAUUUUUUUAUCGCAAGUUGCAAAGUAAUUAUUUUAUUUUAGAAGCACAAUUCAAAUCUCUCUAGCUUUGUCAUAUACUAGUCACACAGUUCAAAUAUAUGGUUUUGGUGCACUUAUCUUGUACAGUGUAUCACAUUCUGUGCAUAUUCUAUUUCACUGGUGUAUUUCCAUAGGACUCUCUACAGUUUUUUGCAUAAACACUUAAAUAAUUCUUUUCUCUGGUUGUUGAUCUAAUAUCUUUAAUCCUCAGAAUACUGCAGGUUUCAUGCAGGAAACAAGUCUCCUGUUUUAUGCUGGAUCUCAGUACUCAACAUAGAGGAGUUCCGCAUGGCUGGGGAGGCCUCAGGUAAUUUACAAUCCUGGUGGAAGACAAAGGGGAAGCAGGUACCUUCUUCACAAGGUGACAGGAGAGAGAGAGCAAGAGAGAAAGAAAGUGCCACACUUUAAAACCAUCAGCUCUCCUGAGAACUCACUCACUAUUGCAAGAACAGCAUGGGAGAAACUGCCUCCAUGAUUCAAUCACCUCCCACCAGGUCCCUCCCUUGACACAUGGAGAUUACAAUUUGAGGUGAGAUUUGGGUGGAGACACAGAGCCCAAUCAUAUCAGAGACUAUUUAUUUAUUCAGUAUAAAACAUCAGCUAUGUAGCAGCAUUUUUCCAGUUACUUUGCUUACAGCAGUAAACAAACAAAUUCUCCAUUCUCAAGAUUACUUUUUAGUGGGAUUAAAUACCAUAAAUCUUAAAACUUUUUAAAGGAAAUAUACAGAACAAUUAGACUAGUAGAGAAUAAAAGGAAUGGGAGAUAUUUUAUAAAGGGUCAUCAAAAAAGCAUCACUGAUAAGAUACAAUUUGAGCAGAGAUCUCAGGAGGUAUAGCAUUGAAAUAGGCAGGCAUCUAAGGAAAAAGCCCAGAGAGAAAAAAUAACAAACAAUGAGGUCAAAGUAUGCUUAGCACGUUAAGGAAAUAGUGACAGAGUCCAAGAGCCUGUAUGACUUGUACAGAGUGAGGCAAGGGGAGAAUAUUAGGAUAUGAGAUCACAGAUAUAAUGGGGAAUCUAAUCAUCAAGGCCUUGUAGGUCGUGGUUGGAAAUUCAGGUUUUGACUCUGAGUGAGAUGAAAGCUGUUGGCUGGUUUUGAACAGAGGAGUGAUAUGUUCUGAUUGACAGUUUAAUAGGAUAAUUUUAGUGCUCUCUGGGAAGUAGGUUUUAUGAGGGCAAAGGUGGAAGGGAGACCAUCCAACACGCUAUUGUAAUAAUCCAGUUGAGAGAUUAUUGUGUUUGGGCUAGGGUGGUAGUAGACCAAAGGUGGAAAUGCGUUAGACUCUGGACAUAUUUUAAAGAUAAAAUGAAGAGUAUUUGCUCAUAGAUUGGAUGGGAGAUGUGAAGGAAAAAGUAGAGACAAG
This 4029-nucleotide long non-coding RNA is filed under the name Homo sapiens (human). RNAcentral's name for it is "HSALNT0271595". The record is from RNAcentral. Lineage: Eukaryota; Metazoa; Chordata; Mammalia; Primates; Hominidae.